RNAcentral lists this ribosomal RNA (497 nucleotides) under uncultured bacterium. Its description in RNAcentral is "partial 16S ribosomal RNA". It matches the Rfam family "Bacterial small subunit ribosomal RNA", at positions 28 to 507 of the family's 1533-position model. The record is from RNAcentral.
GAUGAACGCUGGCGGCGUGCCUAAUACAUGCAAGUCGAGCGAACGGACGAGAAGCUUGCUUCUCUGAUGUUAGCGGCGGACGGGUGAGUAACACGUGGAUAACCUACCUAUAAGACUGGGAUAACUUCGGGAAACCGGAGCUAAUACCGGAUAAUAUUUUGAACCGCAUGGUUCAAAAGUGAAAGACGGUCUUGCUGUCACUUAUAGAUGGAUCCGCGCUGCAUUAGCUAGUUGGUAAGGUAACGGCUUACCAAGGCAACGAUGCAUAGCCGACCUGAGAGGGGGAUCGGCCACACUGGAACUGAGACAGGGUCCAGACUCCUAAGGGAGGCAGCAGUAGGGAAUCUUCCGCAAUGGGCGAAAGCCUGACGGAGCAACGCCGCGUGAGUGAUGAAGGUCUUCGGAUCGUAAAAAUCUGUUAUUAGGGAAGAACAUAUGUGUAAGUAACUGUGCACAUCUUGACGGUACCUAAUCAGAAAGCCACGGCUAACUACGUG